UCUUGCUCCAAAAAGAUAGAUAAUUCAACAUCGAGGUCAUAAUCUUUUUCUUAAAUUUGGACUUUCAGAAAAAAUUAUGCUGUUAUCCCUACGGUAGCUUAAUUUAUUUCCAGUUUGGAGAUGAAAAUGAAAAGGAAAGGAAAAGAUAUAGUUUUUUACCGCCCCAGUGCAACAAAAGUUAAGUUCGACAGGGUCUUGUCGUCCUUCUUAUUUAUGCAAGCCUUUUUACUCGCAUGUAAAAUUAAAAUAGUGGUGGUAAUAAAGGUAUUCAUAUGUCAGACCUUUCAUACUAGCCUUAAAUUAAAAGGCAAAUGAUUAUGCUACCUUAGCACAAAAUGAUUGCGGCUAUUUAAAAUCAUUGAGCAGGUCCUACUGAAUAUAAAUACAUUCAGAAAUGUUUUUGAUAAACAGACAAUAAAUAAUGGCCGAGUUCAUAUACCUCAAAGUAAAUGAUUUAAUUAGGAGAUUAUUUAUAGAUAGGAAUUUCAGAAAGUGAAGAGUUUUACUAAUAAAAUCAUUAUUGAUUUUAAAAGAUGAAUUUCUUUUAAAAAGACUUAAUAAUCCUGCUUAUAAGGUUUGAGAACCAAGAGGACACUAUUAAUCCUGGGAUAAAGUUAGAAAGGAGAAUAAAGUUGUUUUAAAAGUUUAUCCUUUUAAAAAUUUAAGUAUUAAUACCAUAAAAGAAAACCAGAUAUCAUGGAAUGCGAAUGAAAUUUCAUCUCUAAAGUUAUUUUAGAAAUUUUUAUGAAACAAAAUUUAUAAAAAUAAUCUUAGAUCAUUUCGAUUUCGGGACAAUUUUUUGUAAAAAAUGAAUUGAUUUUCCCUGAUACUAAAGGUACAGUUUCUUUCUAAUUUUCAAUCAAUGUGUUCCCUUGCGGUAAAACGAUUAUGAGAAUUGAUAAAUGAAGGAAAAUAUUUAUUUAAAUAUAUUUGUAAAAAAUAAU
This 944-nucleotide ribosomal RNA is filed under the name Aptostichus sp. SD. RNAcentral's name for it is "partial 16S ribosomal RNA". Lineage: Eukaryota; Metazoa; Arthropoda; Arachnida; Araneae; Euctenizidae. The record is from RNAcentral.